GACGAACGCUGGCGGCGUGCUUAACACAUGCAAGUCGAACGGAAAGGCCCUGCUUUUGUGGGGUGCUCGAGUGGCGAACGGGUGAGUAACACGUGAGUAACCUGCCCUUGACUUUGGGAUAACUUCAGGAAACUGGGGCUAAUACCGGAUAGGAGCUCCUGCUGCAUGGUGGGGGUUGGAAAGUUUCGGCGGUUGGGGAUGGACUCGCGGCUUAUCAGCUUGUUGGUGGGGUAGUGGCUUACCAAGGCUUUGACGGGUAGCCGGCCUGAGAGGGUGACCGGCAACAUUGGGACUGAGAUACGGCCCAGACUCCUACGGGAGGCAGCAGUGGGGAAUAUUGCACAAGGGGCGGAAGCCUGAUGCAGCAACGCCGCGUGCGGGAUGACGGCCUUCGGGUUGUAAACCGCUUUCGCCUGUGACGAAGCGUGAGUGACGGUAAUGGGUAAAGAAGCACCGGCUAACUACGUG
Molecule: ribosomal RNA, 468 nt
Filed under: uncultured bacterium
Lineage: Bacteria
Description: partial 16S ribosomal RNA
Rfam family: Bacterial small subunit ribosomal RNA
Source: RNAcentral